AGCCACCAUCUAAAAGUAUGCAUUGGAUAAAUCUCGCAUUAUGACUAGCCAGCAAAUGACCACAAUGAAGUAAGCCAGCCUAAGUUACUUAUAGCUGACCGUCUCAAAUCAAGAAGGUCAAUAGGUAGUUCCCGUCAAGAAUCGAACUUGUACUCUUGUGGUUAUCAAGUCAACAGUAUGAUCAACUUGGCUGAGGUUGCCCCAAAAGUUCUUACUUUAUAGUGGAUGCAUGUGAUCAACAAAUCAAAGUUUUCAGCUGAAAGCAAUGUUCUAGAUUUGAGAUAUAUGUAUUUGGGUGAAAGGAACCGGCACUGAACCACUGAUGUCGCUCUCCCCAUGAAUAAUUUAAAACCAUAAUUGUUAACCUUAUUGCCCAAACUUUGACGAGGCUUCUUGGCAGAGUGUGAAAUGUCAAUGCCGUGUAACUGUAA
This is a long non-coding RNA of Ipomoea nil (Japanese morning glory), 431 nucleotides long. RefSeq lists it as uncharacterized. The transcript is spliced from 2 exons. NCBI's taxonomy places the organism in Eukaryota, Viridiplantae, Streptophyta, Magnoliopsida, Solanales, Convolvulaceae. The record is from RefSeq and is a predicted model, not a curated record.